GUAGUCCACGCCGUAAACGAUGCACACUGAGCGCCGGAGUCUCUGACGACGUCGGCGCUGGAGUAAAAACGUUAAGUGUGCCGCCUGGGGAGUACGGCCGCAAGGCUAAAACUCAAAGGAAUUGACGGGGGCUCACACAAGCGGUGGAGCAUGUGGCUUAAUUCGAAGCAACGCGAAGAACCUUACCCGGGUUUGACAUGCAUGGAUGUUCCUUGGGGAUAACUCGAGGUUACUGCCCGCAAGGGUGAAACAUGCACAGGUGUUGCAUGGCUGUCGUCAGCUCGUGCUGUGAAGUGUCAGGUUAAGUCCUUCAACGAGCGAAACCCCUAUUGCUAGUUGCCAGCGGGUCAUGCCGGGGACUCUAGCAAGACUGCCGGCGUAAGCCGGA
Molecule: ribosomal RNA, 388 nt
Filed under: uncultured bacterium
Lineage: Bacteria
Description: bacterial SSU rRNA
Rfam family: Bacterial small subunit ribosomal RNA
Source: RNAcentral